Herpailurus yagouaroundi (jaguarundi) is the source of this 965-nucleotide long non-coding RNA. RefSeq lists it as uncharacterized. The record is from RefSeq and is a predicted model, not a curated record. The transcript has 3 exons. Lineage: Eukaryota; Metazoa; Chordata; Mammalia; Carnivora; Felidae.
AGCGGGUCUCUUCCCGGGGUUGUGAAGUUGAUAACUGGUGGUAGGCGAGAGAGCUCCCCCUUCCGCCCGCCGUGUCCGUUUUAGGAGAGAUUGUCUUCUAUACCUGCUCAAACACCUGAUUGUCGGUUAGCCUCCGUCUCCCCAGCUAGAAGAGCGAUCGGAGUCAGCUCUGCUUCCUGUAUUAGUUGAGGUUCUCCAGAGGAGAGGGGACAGGAUAUGUACCCGGAAAGAGAGGUUAGUUUUAAGGGUGGGCUCUGUUAACCUUAAAAGUAAUACAAAAAUAAUAAAACAGUUAUUUUACCAGCAAAGAUGGGAUUAUUUGGGAAUAGCAGAGGCUUGCUUGGCAGGGUAAGUAGACUUGCCAGAACCAGGGGCAAGUCUGGAAAACGGGGAGAGGAGAGGGAGCUGUAAGCGAGACACAUGGAUGACACCAGGUGCUGGUGACACCAGGUGCUGGACACAAGUCAGACGGUGAAGUCAUUAUUCGCAGCAACAAUAAAUUAAGUAAAAACUGCAUAAACAAUAGAGGACUCGAUAUAUUUGCAGUAGAAGUGGCUCCAAAGUCUACAAUAGUUUGUCAACAUGUGAUGCCUCUGCGGGAACGACAGGACUGGGCUUUAUUAUUAAAAUAUAAAUAAAUAAAGGAAAGAGGGAAGUGUGAUGCUCUCUCAUUGGCUGGGCUGUUGCUGGAGCAGCAGGAAACCUUCCUGUUGCUGGUGAUGCAAUUUUCUACCAGGAGGACCCUCCCAAAGGAAAGCCAAAAGGAUGCUUUUCAGCCAAAAGAAAAGUGAUCACAGGUUGUAAAGCCAAAAUCUAAGAAGGAGCACAGAGCAAAGAAAGUGGUACAUAAGUGAGAAAAUCUAAUUGUACAAAAUAACACUGAGUCUUGUAUGACAAAAAGAGAGAAUUUUUAAAACAGUUGAAUUUUACAUUUUCAUUUAAAAGGUUCGGGGCACCUGGGUGGC